Molecule: ribosomal RNA, 720 nt
Filed under: Limosilactobacillus vaginalis
Lineage: Bacteria; Bacillati; Bacillota; Bacilli; Lactobacillales; Lactobacillaceae
Description: bacterial SSU rRNA
Rfam family: Bacterial small subunit ribosomal RNA
Source: RNAcentral
GGCGCAAGCCUGAUGGAGCAACACCGCGUGAGUGAAGAAGGGUUUCGGCUCGUAAAGCUCUGUUGUUGGAGAAGAACGUGCGUGAGAGUAACUGUUCACGCAGUGACGGUAUCCAACCAGAAAGUCACGGCUAACUACGUGCCAGCAGCCGCGGUAAUACGUAGGUGGCAAGCGUUAUCCGGAUUUAUUGGGCGUAAAGCGAGCGCAGGCGGUUGCUUAGGUCUGAUGUGAAAGCCUUCGGCUUAACCGAAGAAGUGCAUCGGAAACCGGGCGACUUGAGUGCAGAAGAGGACAGUGGAACUCCAUGUGUAGCGGUGGAAUGCGUAGAUAUAUGGAAGAACACCAGUGGCGAAGGCGGCUGUCUGGUCUGCAACUGACGCUGAGGCUCGAAAGCAUGGGUAGCGAACAGGAUUAGAUACCCUGGUAGUCCAUGCCGUAAACGAUGAGUGCUAGGUGUUGGAGGGUUUCCGCCCUUCAGUGCCGGAGCUAACGCAUUAAGCACUCCGCCUGGGGAGUACGACCGCAAGGUUGAAACUCAAAGGAAUUGACGGGGGCCCGCACAAGCGGUGGAGCAUGUGGUUUAAUUCGAAGCUACGCGAAGAACCUUGCCAGGUCUUGACAUCUUGCGCUAACCUAAGAGAUUAGGCGUUCCCUUCGGGGACGCAAUGACAGGUGGUGCAUGGUCGUCGUCAGCUCGUGUCGUGAGAUGUUGGGUUAAGU